Molecule: ribosomal RNA, 253 nt
Filed under: uncultured bacterium
Lineage: Bacteria
Description: partial 16S ribosomal RNA
Rfam family: Bacterial small subunit ribosomal RNA
Source: RNAcentral
UACGGAGGGUGCAAGCGUUAUCCGGAUUUACUGGGUUUAAAGGGUGCGUAGGCGGGUUAUUAAGUCAGUGGUGAAAGCUCCAUGCCUAACAUGGAAAUUGCCAUUGAUACUGAUGAUCUUGAGUACAUUUGAAGUGGGCGGAAUGUGUCAUGUAGCGGUGAAAUGCUUAGAUAUGACACAGAACACCAAUUGCGAAGGCAGCUCACUACGCGAAUAUUGACACUGAGGCACGAAAGCGUGGGGAUCAAACAGG